Molecule: ribosomal RNA, 253 nt
Filed under: uncultured bacterium
Lineage: Bacteria
Description: partial 16S ribosomal RNA
Rfam family: Bacterial small subunit ribosomal RNA
Source: RNAcentral
UACGUAGGGUGCAAGCGUUGUCCGGAAUUAUUGGGCGUAAAGAGCUCGUAGGCGGUUUGUCGCGUCUGCUGUGAAAACUCGGGGCUUAACCCCGGGCCUGCAGUGGGUACGGGCAGACUAGAGUGCGGUAGGGGAGACUGGAAUUCCUGGUGUAGCGGUGAAAUGCGCAGAUAUCAGGAGGAACACCGGUGGCGAAGGCGGCUCUCUGGGCAUGUCCUGACGCUGAGGAGCGAAAGUGUGGGGAGCGAACAGG